GCCUGGGUCCCGAGUCCGGCCGCCAGGGGCUCUCGCGGCGGCAGGAGCCCGUAAGGGGGCAGCCCGGUCCCUGCUGUGCCGUGAGGAGCUGGGAGCCCGGACUCCUGGGUUCUCUCCCGGCUCUGGGAGGGGAACAAGGACGCGUGGGUACAAGAGGGCUCGGGCCAGCCUGUGGCAAGCUUGCACCCAUGUCCCUUCCCAGCACCAUGGGGAGAACAGCUGCCUCAUACGAAUGCCGUGUUCUGGCCUCAGUGCUGGCGCUGAAGGAGCUGGCGCCCAGGCUGGCUGCCCCCACCCACCGCCCUGCACACCACAUGUGUUCCCUCCCUGGGUUCCUGGAGAGAUACACAGAAGCAAG
Gopherus evgoodei (Goodes thornscrub tortoise) is the source of this 358-nucleotide long non-coding RNA. RefSeq lists it as uncharacterized. NCBI's taxonomy places the organism in Eukaryota, Metazoa, Chordata, Testudines, Testudinidae. The record is from RefSeq and is a predicted model, not a curated record. The transcript has 3 exons.